RNAcentral lists this ribosomal RNA (720 nucleotides) under uncultured bacterium. Its description in RNAcentral is "bacterial SSU rRNA". It matches the Rfam family "Bacterial small subunit ribosomal RNA", at positions 60 to 774 of the family's 1533-position model. The record is from RNAcentral.
AGUCGAGCGGUAGAGAGAAGCUUGCUUCUCUUGAGAGCGGCGGACGGGUGAGUAAUGCCUAGGAAUCUGCCUGGUAGUGGGGGAUAACGCUCGGAAACGGACGCUAAUACCGCAUACGUCCUACGGGAGAAAGCAGGGGACCUUCGGGCCUUGCGCUAUCAGAUGAGCCUAGGUCGGAUUAGCUAGUUGGUGAGGUAAUGGCUCACCAAGGCGACGAUCCGUAACUGGUCUGAGAGGAUGAUCAGUCACACUGGAACUGAGACACGGUCCAGACUCCUACGGGAGGCAGCAGUGGGGAAUAUUGGACAAUGGGCGAAAGCCUGAUCCAGCCAUGCCGCGUGUGUGAAGAAGGUCUUCGGAUUGUAAAGCACUUUAAGUUGGGAGGAAGGGCAGUAAAUUAAUACUUUGCUGUUUUGACGUUACCGACAGAAUAAGCACCGGCUAACUCUGUGCCAGCAGCCGCGGUAAUACAGAGGGUGCAAGCGUUAAUCGGAAUUACUGGGCGUAAAGCGCGCGUAGGUGGUUCGUUAAGUUGGAUGUGAAAUCCCCGGGCUCAACCUGGGAACUGCAUUCAAAACUGUCGAGCUAGAGUAUGGUAGAGGGUGGUGGAAUUUCCUGUGUAGCGGUGAAAUGCGUAGAUAUAGGAANGGAACACCAGUGGCGAANGCGACCACCUGNACUGAUACUGACACUGAGGUGCGAAAGCGUGGGGAGCAAACA